Lynx canadensis (Canada lynx) is the source of this 1074-nucleotide long non-coding RNA. RefSeq lists it as uncharacterized. The transcript is spliced from 2 exons. The record is from RefSeq and is a predicted model, not a curated record. NCBI's taxonomy places the organism in Eukaryota, Metazoa, Chordata, Mammalia, Carnivora, Felidae.
GCCCCGCGCGGCGCCGCUAACCUGUGCUUACCGAGCGCCUGCUGUCUAUCGGCUCCUUCGCGACCUCCUCCGCCUGCAGAGCAUCUCCGGCCGGGGCCUUGGGCGAGUGACCGAGCCUCUCCUGGGUUGUCCCCAGGUUUGUCGGAGAGGGUGGUGACUUCACCUUGCAGGCAGGUGCGAAGCUCCCCGUGAGAUGCCCACUGCAUAGCGAGCGCUCGCGAUCCUUGCUCUUUGUAUCCAUGGCUUUUCCUUAACGGAGGUAAUCUGUACGUAACAGGGUUGACCAUCUUAGCCGUUUUUAAGUGUACAGAUCAGCGGCGGGAAGUACGUUCACGCUAUUCCGCAGCCUCCGCCACCAUCCACAGGACGUUUCCACCAGUGAUGGUUUCACAGCGGACUGCCUUCCGAGGGGAGGCUCUGUCUUCACUCUCUUCUUGCCCAGCAGUCAGUCACUAGGGAGUCUCCACCUGCUGAGUCCUGAGACACAGAAGGGCCCUGCCCUCCCCGAGCUUUUAGCAGACGAGGUGGCAGAGGCCCAGAGAAGUGAACCAACUAUCCAAAGACGCACAGCGGUGUAAGAGGCAGAGUCAGGACCAGAAGCAAAGGCGGGGCUCCAGAACCAGCAAUGGCCUCCGCUCCAGCCCCCCCAGCCCAGAGGGAUCUGUGAGCAGGCCGGCGCCGCCCCGGAGAGGACCUUCAUCUCCCCCUCUUCUAGGCCCUGGCUGCCUUCAGGCUGCUGGACCCCAGCUGUCUGUCUGUCUCCACAGCAACUUGACCGGCCAUGGGCCACCUUCGGGGACCCCGGACCCCCGUGCACAGGCAGCAGCCUCCCCAGGCUGACAGCCAGGCUCGGUGUCCGUGUUUUCGUCUUAGCUAUCCCAGCGUCCCAUGCUGCCUGCAACUCUUUCUGGUUUCAUAACCAGCGUGGCCACAGAGAAAAGAGAAAAGUAACUGUGGCUUGGCCAGGAAAUGUCAACUGCCUGUGAUAGAGGCAUCAGGGAGAUUCUGAGUGCUCCUGGGUGCUGGAUGGGUGUGAGCACCAGUGAGGGGAAAUAAAACAAAGCAGAGGCGUGA